Molecule: unclassified non-coding RNA, 373 nt
Filed under: Hevea brasiliensis (rubber tree)
Lineage: Eukaryota; Viridiplantae; Streptophyta; Magnoliopsida; Malpighiales; Euphorbiaceae
Source: RNAcentral
GCACAUUUCAGCUAGUUCUAAAGUCUAAUGGUACAAGAAUUUUUUUUUUAAGUAGUGUAUUGUAAUAGGAGAAUUACAACAUUUUGCCUUCAUAUAUACUAUAUUUCGUACAACCUAUAUAUAUUUCUAGACUUCUGUAUUUCUUGCAAAUGCAUAGUUUCAAGAACUGAUCUUCUCCGCCUUUUAAGAUAAAAUCGACCAAGAUCUCUUCAUUUAGGAGUUAGGACUGGCAAGCUUGAUUAAUAAUUGGAAAAUCCACAAACCAAAAUGUUCUGUGAGGAGUACCAAUAUAGAAUAUCUUGCUUUUUCCAUGAUAAGCUGAAAUAUUUCACAAGAAUACCCUCUUUAACGUCCUUGCAGCGACUCGGGAAGC